AGCAAGACAAUCAUUUCUGGUUCAAAGACGUGCUACUCAUCAAACGAAUGCUCUCACAAAUAGUGUAGAGUUUAAUGCACUAACCAGCUUUACAAUAGACCAAAGGUUUAUGCAACAUGACAAAUCAAAGCUGUUUCCACAUACAGAUUUUACUGUGACUGUGUAUUUAAAAUGUACUUGUUACUGUGCUUUUAAUUAUAAUCAAGUAUUAUAAGGAAAGUCUGAGUAUUUUUGUACAAACACAGAAGCCUGGAGAUGUAUACAUGGGAUAAUGUAUGUAUUUUCUCACAUAUAUGCCUAUUAGUUUGAAUAACAAGGAUAUUCAUUGAAAACAUAUUUUAUAUAUACUGUACACUGAUUAAUUGACUAAAAGCCAGUAGGUCUGAACAUUAGGUGGACAGCAUGGCCACUUUUCUGUAUUAGGAUGUGCUUGUUUUUCCUUUUAAGGCUAAGAGGAGUAGAUCUUUUCCUACUGAAUGGGACCAUUAAGAUGUAGAUAAUCUAUAUGAUGUAUGUCAAAAGAACUUGAGCAUUAUAAAGACAUUUUACUGACCUUUAAGUAAACACUGAUUUGGUAACUUAAACUUUGUCAGAGUGUUCUCCAGUGUGCCACUUUCCUCGUUGUGUUUGCAUUUGUGUUAUAUUCAUAUAUAUCACACACACACUUUCUACACUGAUUUUAUUAGAGUUGAAUAGAGAACUCAAGUUUAUUGUGUCUGUUAAGAAAAUAAGAGACUAAUGCAGUAGACAUAACUGUUAUAAGGUAGCUAAUGUUUAUUAAACCGUGGUGAUGUAAAUUUCAUGUACUUUGGACCUUAAAAUGUAUGUGUUUGGGACAUUAGUUGUUAUUUAUUCUUUACUCUGAAGAAUAAAGUGCAACUCUAAUAGUCUUCUCUGAUUUUAGUAGUCUAUUUGUUAUUGUGUGAGAAAUAUGAUAAUUUAAUCUGAUAUUUGUCAUUGGGCCAAUUUCUGCAAGAAAAAAAUAGAAGAGAAGCGUGUUUAAGUGUUUUCAGUGUGGUAAUUUUAUUUCAUUUGAAAUGUAUAAUUUAAAAAUAUAUUGGAACACUGUAUUGACUCAUACUCAUGGUUGAGGUUCUGCAAAAUAAAAAGUAUCACUGCGUGAUGGACUGGUGUCUCAUCCAGGGUGUGAUGGAUACCUGAUCGACCAUAACCUUAAUCAGCACAAAUCUAUUACUGAAGAAGAAUUAAUGAGUCUGGCAUAGCUUACUUUGCCUGAACUCACUACUUGCAAGAAAAAAUUAGACUGUGAGGCCACUUACAAAUAUGAACUAGCCUACAGCUCUA
Molecule: long non-coding RNA, 1305 nt
Organism: Ictalurus punctatus (channel catfish)
Lineage: Eukaryota; Metazoa; Chordata; Actinopteri; Siluriformes; Ictaluridae
Source: Ensembl